CUUCCAGCUCUUUCACACCAUUUCUGUUGGACUCUGUUGGACUCUGUUGGACUCGGUUGUUCCAAAGCUCUAUUUUUAACAGCAGGCAUGGACGCUGUGUGUUCCUACGAGGCUGCUGGAGCUGAUUGAGGCCACUCAGUACAACACUGAUGAUUCCAGCAGACAUGCCACAGCACAUUUCAGAAGCAUCCCUGAAGCAUCUCUUUGCUCCGCACCACUAAAAAUAACUCUGGAUCUGUUUUUUACAGAAGCUCCAUCAAGCUGCAGACAACAGAGGAAAAUGUGCAGCACAGAAGAAACAGCAAAGGAAAUCCUGUCAGUGUUGAAAAUAGAAGAGCCUGUGCAGACCAACAUGUUUCUCUUCUAAAAUACACCAGGUGUGGUUUGAAGGACGCAACAAAACCACAUCAGAAAGACAUCAGAGACUCAUCACAUCACUCGCUGGAUUCACUGGAUUAUUUUUCUUUCACCAUUAUUUGGAACAAAGAAAACAAACGUGACUGGUUUGUGUCAUUGUGGUGCUGCAUGGCCCACUUUCUCCUGAGAUUCAGUUCACAGACAGAUGUUCUGAUAGUUUUCUUUACAAUUUGCUGCUAGAAUUCAAAAUUGAUUGUGUGAUUAAUGAUGGUGAGCCAGAUGGGCCAAACCAUGAUCCUAUCAGCAGCAUGUUUCAUUGUAGUGGUGCAUCAUUGAUGGGAUAAAUGGACUGGUGCUUAUAUAGUGAUUUUCUAUUUUCAUGUGGACUAAAGUAGUGGACUGACCAACAGACUGACAUUAACAUCAGAGCCGUGCUGCUAGUGUGGCUAAAAGAAAAGAGAAGAAGAGACAGUCAUGUUGAUAUGAACAUUAGAGAAACACAUCAUGGAGCUGAAAUAUGAUCCUGCUUCCUCAUUUGGACUCAUUCACCUCAGCUGACACGUUCAACAGCAGACAGGUUUUUGUAGCAGUCUGUCUCACUGUGAGAGGGAUACUACCUCAUCUUUGGCUCUGGAACUAAACUGUCUGUAACAGAUGAGCAGGUAGUGAAGCCCGUGGUGAGCGUGUACCCAGCAGCAUCCAGAGCCCACCUGGAGGGGAACAGCUCCCUGCUGUGUGUGGCCUCAGCCAUGUUUCCUCCUCUGGUCCAGUUCUCCUGGAAAAGACAGAAGAAGAACGGCGGAGAAGCGGAGGAGCUGCCCCCUGCUGAGGGAGAGCAGCUGGAGCUCAGAGAGGCGGGACGCACCAUUGCCAUCAGGAUGCUUGAUGGGAGCCAUUCUGACACAUAUAAAUACAGCUGCUGGGUGAAGCACGAGGGGGGCACAGUGGAGGCCCGAACACAACAAGGUAAUGAAGGCUUGGUGACUGUGUUCAGCAGUGAUUCAGCUUCAUGUGGAGAUGCUGUCAAAGAGAGCAGAGCAGCAGAGGACUGACAUUUCUCACUGCAGCUCCAAACAUUUGACUCCUUUUCUGUUUCAGAGCUUCCAGCUCCAGCAGCCUCCUGUCCUCCAGAGAGAGAGCCAGCAGACCUGCCAGCUCUGCAGCCAGCUGACUUGUCCUUCCAGUCUCAGUGCAGGGUGAAGCUGCUCUGCCUGCUGUACACAGUGCUGGUGUACUGCUGUGGACUCUCUCUGCUGAUGAUGCUCACAAACAAGGGAGCGUCCACCAACUGCACACAUGCUGACUGACUGUUUCCUGCUCGCCUUUUCUCACCAUCACAUCUCAUCAAUUCAUCUCAUUCAUCACUUUGAUCACAAAUGUUAGUUAUGAUGUGUUGAGCUUAUUUUGCCUUUUUCUUCAACAGUUAGAAGAUCGUCUGAAAUAAAUACAUCUUUACAUGUAUUGUUGCUCUGAGUUAGAAUUCUUUUUGUGCUUAUUGUGACUUUUAUUGUAGUAACAAAAACCAUCAGGAAUAUUUUUAUCACAAGUUUUCACUUUUUGUUUGAUUUUCAAAUGUCAAACAGUGUAGUUGUGUUUGUGUGAACAAUAAAGAUUUGAAGAUGAA
Astatotilapia calliptera (eastern happy) is the source of this 1981-nucleotide long non-coding RNA. The record is from Ensembl. NCBI's taxonomy places the organism in Eukaryota, Metazoa, Chordata, Actinopteri, Cichliformes, Cichlidae.